RNAcentral lists this ribosomal RNA (226 nucleotides) under uncultured bacterium. Its description in RNAcentral is "partial 16S rRNA". It matches the Rfam family "Bacterial small subunit ribosomal RNA", at positions 505 to 730 of the family's 1533-position model. The record is from RNAcentral.
GUGCCAGCAGCCGCGGUAAUACGUAGGAGGCGAGCGUUAUCCGGAUUUACUGGGCGUAAAGCGCGUGCAGGCGGAUCGGAAAGUUGGAUGUGAAAGCUCCCGGCUUAACUGGGAGAGGUCGUUCAAAACUACCGGUCUUGAGUACAGUAGAGGGAAGUGGAAUUCCGGGUGUAGUGGUGAAUUGCGUAGAUAUCCGGAGGAACAUCAGUGACGAAGGCGGCUUUCU